CCAUACCGCGGACAAGACCACUGUACCGCGACGCCAUCAUGUACAGUAACACUUGUCCCUGGGCACUAUUUAUGAAGUGACCUAGGGGACAAGUGUGACACUCACCCAUGCCCCCAUGCCACUAGCUAGCUUACAUACUAAGCUACCUCACACUAUAAAAGGAGACACACAUCCAUCCAUCCAUCCAGGGGAUGGACUCUCACGCACACACCCACAAGCAUGCUAGCUAGUAAGAGAGCUAGCUAGCCAUCCAUCCAUCCAUCCACACAACACACACACACACGCAUGGCACUCACAUGCUCACGGCCAUGAGCAUGGCCGACCACUAGCAUGCCUCAUAUAGGCAUAUACCAGAUCAGAUGCACUUGGCACUGAUCCCAGAUACAACUCCAGGAGCACUUUGUACUGCCCAAUAUACACCCCAGAUAGAUACACUCAGACAUGCAGCAGUAGUAGUAUUAUCUCUCCAGAGAGCUCCGAAGCUAGGUAAACCACCGCGUGCUACUCGCAUACCCGCUCCUAUUCCUAUCAGCAGCAGUCUUACCCUCACACUAAGCCCUUGUGGCAUCUGUUGACUCGCAAGCCCCCCGUGAGAAUACAACGACAGUUGGCGCCCACCGUGGGGUGGUACUACUACUAUGCUACCACGCUGCUGCUGGUUUCGCAGUCCGGGCGGGACCAUUUUCGCCUUCACCGCCGCGGCGUCGCGCCGUCUCUCUAGUAGCGGUCGGGGGCUCGACGUCGACACGCCCCCGGAGUGACCGUGAGGGGCGGCGCGUCCCCGCCGUCAGCCUCACCAUUUUCGCCAUCAUCACCGCGGCGUCGCCGUAGUCUCUCCGGUAGCGCUCGGGGGCCCAACAUUGACACUCCCCCGGAGCGGCCGCGAGGGGCGGCGCAUCCUCGCCGUCGGCCAUCUUCGUCACCACCACCGCAACGCCGGCCGUCCGUCCGCGCGCGCGCCGCGCACGAGGCCUCGUUUCGGUCGGCCGUGGCCAUCCACGCGCUGCUUGCGUCUGCUUCCAUCCGCGUUGCGCCUUGCUCCGACCGAAACACACGUUCAUUCCUCCACAUACCAUCUAUGCAAGCUAGCUAGAUGAAAGUCAAACAAUGGUCAAAUCAUUAGCCAUACACUUCCCAGAUAAUAGCCAUACACUCUUCCUACACUAUCCAGAUGCAAGUUAGAUAGUGCGUGUAUGAUGGCCAGAUAAUCCCUGUACAUUGGUCGGAUACGAACCAGAUAUAUCCCGUACACUACCCUAACAAAAGUCAGAUAAUCCCCAGACAAUGCUCAGGCAAUGGUGUGGCUGUGCCCGCGCCUGGUGGUUGCUGACCGGCUGUGCCCGCGCCUAGUCGCGCCGGCCUUCACCGCUCCGGCUGACCCUUCCAGCCGCCUCCCGCGCGGCUGCCCGUGCCGCCGCAGGCCACAGAUCCGCCUCGCACUGCUGCUGCCUGCCGUGCACGCGCCUCCGACAACAACGUCGCCUCUGACUCCCCUGCUGCCCCGCACGUCUGCGUACCCGCGCAAAAUCUGGCCGGCUGGGCUCCUCCGUCCAGCUCAUCACGCGGCUCCAGCUCCGCGCGCCUGUCGCCGCACCCGCUCGUGGCUGCCGGCUGCUGGUUCCAUCUCCUCCAUCCGCCGAGCCCGCCUCGCCUGGCCGGCUUUUCCGCCCACUUCCGCGUCCCGCCGCGGCACGGCCCUCUCCGCGCGCCAGCUCCCGGCCUGCUGGCUACGCCCACCACCCGGCCGGCCUGGCCGGCUCUCGCUGUCUCCUCUGCGGCGCCCUGGCUCCCCCCUGCCGCGUUCCAGCGUCGGCUCGCACUCGCAGCCGCGGCCGGACCCGGCCGCGUCCGCGCACGCCGGCUGCGACCGCUCCGCCUCCCCGGACCGGCUCCGCAUGCUCCGCCGGGCCGCCUCCCCGUGCCGGCUCGGUCGCGCGCGACCGCCUGCUCUGGCCGCCGGCUCCCCGCGCCUCCCAGCGUCUCGGGGCCGCCUGCUCCGCGUCUCCGCCCCGCGCGCCCGUUGGCCUAGUCGCCGCUCCCGCUCCGGCUGGGUCCCCCGCUCCGGCCGGCUUCGGGACGUCGCCGGGUCGCCUCGCACCCUGCGGGUCCCGUGCCGCGGCGGCCCGUGGCGCUCCGCCUGCGCGCUCGCCCCCCGAGCCGCCCACCAGCCGCGUCGGCCCUUGCCCUGCCUGGCCGACUGCUCCGCGUCCCUCCGCGCGGCUCCGCCCCGUCUCGCGCCUCCAGGCGCCCGUGGCCGGCUCCCCAGCCGGACUCGGCCUCCUACGCUGGCCGGCUCCGCCAUGCCUCCCGCUCCUGCUCGCGGCUCCGCCGCCUGCCUUCUCCGCCGCGACCCGGAUGGUCGGCUUCGCCGCCCGCCGACUCCACCGCGACCCGGACGGCCAGCUUCGCCGCCCGCCGGCUCCGCCACCACCCGGCCGGUCCUGCCCCCUGGCCCCUCUGCGCUCCAGGCCGACUCGCGUUGCUCAACUGCCGCGGCCGGGUGCUCGUUCAAAAGAAAGGGGGAGUGGGUGCCGGCGGGAGAAGAGAAAAAGAAAAGGGGCUGGAGAAGAGAAAAAGAAGAGAAGAGCCGUCUAAAAAAAGGGAAGAAAGAGCCGGCCGACUGGAGCUGAGCCGGCUGUCUGGGAAAGAGGCCGAGUGCCCAAUCCGGCAACCGAAAAAAAAGAAAAAAGAAAAAAGAGGAGGAUCCGACUUUGCAUAUUGCAGUCUAGCCAACCGCUCCGGUCAAACAGCCCGCGUUACCGCUAAGCUGGCUGGUUCGUCUGCCUGUUUCGCUGCCUGGCCGACCGACGAGUCGGUCCGUCGGAGCAAAGCCGGCUGACGAGAAAAAGAGAAGAAGACAAAGUAGUUGCUGGAGAUCCGGCCCGACUGCUCAGCAGUCAGCCCGAAUCUCGGGGGCUACACCCAGCGGGUGUGCUGACGCGCCCCCGCGAGGAAAAGAAGACAAAGUAGUCGCCGGGAGAUCCGGCCCGACUGCUCAGCAGUCGGCCCGGAUCUCGGGGGCUACACCCAGCGGGUGAGCUGACGCGCCCCCGCGAAGAUUGCAGACAAGUGAAUAGUUUUGUCUGGCUACCAGCAGCCGGCAGGAGAGAAAAAGAAGAAAAGGGGCAUUGCAAGACGCCUCGCCGCCUGGCCAGUCGAGCCUGACCGGCCAAGACCCCCCUUCAAGCACCCGGGGGCUCAAAGGCUACACCCAGCGGGUGCGCCGACGCACUCCGCGAGCGCCGAGCCGCGCCAGCUGUCUUCGACGAUCGCGACUACACGAAAAUCAAUGUGAGCUCCUCACCCGCUUGUUUUUUGCACCACGCGAGCAUGGAUAACCCCGAGCGAUGCUCGGAGGGCUAUCUUCACAUUUCAUUACAAUUGCAUCACUGUUCGCCCCGGCGCCAGCCAGAGUUGGCCCGGGGGCUGGCCGAUUGGCCUGAGACGUUAGUUCCCGCAGACGGCUUAGUAGCGUGCGCGGUACCAAAGGCCCAUUCUUAGUCACAGACCGCAGAGCGGCUAUCCGACUGGCAAGAGUGAACGCUGGAGGCCACCCACGCGAAAAACGUCCGGGAAGAAAAGCGGUUCGGGCGACCCGACCGUUUCCUUUACAAGUGAAGGAAAUAUGCCCUAGAGGCAAUAAUAAAGUUAUUAUUUAUUUCCUUAUUUCAUGAUAAAUGUUUAUUAUUCAUGCUAGAAUUGUAUUAACCGGAAACAUAAUACAUGUGUGAAUACAUAGACAAACUUAAUGUCACUAGUAUGCCUCUACUUGACUAGCUCAUUAAUCAAAGAUGGUUAUGUUUCCUAACCAUAGACAUGAGUUGUCAUUUGAUUAACGGGAUCACAUCAUUAGUAGAAUGAUGUGAUUGACUUGACCCAUUCCGUUAGCUUAGCACUUGAUCAUUUAGUAUAUUGCUAUUGCUUUCUUCAUGACUUAUACAUGUUCCUAUGACUAUGAGAUUAUGCAACUCCCGUUUACCGGAGGAACACUUUGUGUGCUACCAAACGUCACAACGUAAUUGUGUGAUGAUAAAGGAGCUCUACAGGUGUCUCCGAAGGUACUUGUUGGGUUGGCGUAUUUCGAGAUUAGGAUUUGUCACUCCGAUUGUCGGAGAGGUAUCUCUAGGCCCUCUCGGUAAUACACAUCACUUAAGCCUUGCAAGCAUUACAACUAAUGAGUUAGUUGUGAGAUGAUGUAUUACGGAACGAGUAAAGAGACUUGCCGGUAACGAGAUUGAACUAGGUAUUGAGAUACCGACGAUCGAAUCUCGGACAAGUAACAUACCGAUGACAAAGGGAACAACGUAUGUUGUUAUGCGGUCUGACCGAUAAAGAUCUUCGUAGAAUAUGUGGGAGCCAAUAUGAGCAUCCAGGUUCCGCUAUUGGUUAUUGACCGGAAACGUGUUUCGGUCAUGUCUACAUUGUUCUCGAACCCGUAGGGUCCGCACGCUUAAGGUUUCGAUGACAGUUAUAUUAUGAGUUUACAUGUUUUGAUGUACCGAAGGAGUUCGGAGUCCCGGAUGAGAUCGGGGACAUGACGAGGAGUCUCGAAAUGGUCGAGACGUAAAUAUUCAUAUAUUGGAUGAUAUGGUUAGGCCAAGGGGUCAAGCCCAUGAGGCUUUAGGUCGGUGCAAAAGGAGUUUUGCGGAGGCCAGGGGGCCAAACGUUGGAGACCCUGGCGUCUGGUCCUGGGCCAGACGCCGAGGCCCAUGGCGUCUAGGCCAGACGCCAAGGAUUGUGGUGUUUGGUCCUGGAGUCCGAGUGGGACUCUUGCCUUUUGGGCAAAACCGACUUUGAGGAGGCUUUUGCUCCAAGUUUCGACCCCGGGGCUCAACAUAUAAAUAGAGGGGCAGGGCUAGCACCAAAGACACAACAAUUGAUCCCUUAGAUCUCUUAGCCGUGUGCGGUGCCCCCCUCCACUAUAGUCCACCUCGAUAAUAUCGUAGCGGUGCUUAGGAGAAGCCCUGCGACGGUAGAACAUCAAGAUCAUCACCACACCGUCGUGUUGACGGAACUCUACCUCGACACUCGGCUGGAUCGGAGUUCGAGGGACGUCAUCGAGCUGAACGUGUGCUAGAACUCGGAGGUGCCAUAGUUUCGGUGCUUGAUCGGUCGGGCCGUGAAGACGUACGACUACAUCAACCGCGUUGUGCUAACGCUUCCGCUUACGGUCUACAAGGGUAUGUAGACAACACUCUCCCCUCUCGUUGCUAUGCAUCACCAUGAUCUUGUGUGUGCGUAGGAAUUUUUUUAAAAUUACUACGUUCCCCAACAACAAGUAUCUACUCGGUUGAAUCUGCUCCCAGACUCUGAGUACUGUACACUCCACUUUGCGGCCCACUCUCAGCCAUAGACCGCAGAGCGGCUGUCCGGUAGGCAAGAGCACAAGCCAAAAAGCGGAGGGAACACGAAAAAGAUUGAAGGGGGCUCGGACGAAACCGAGUCGGCACCCUCUACAUAAAACUUGCAAUGCUAAAAGCAAACAUUUGAUAUAUCUGCAUGGACUAACUUUUUCUUUUUCCACGAUCAUUUCCAUGAACACUCGCCAAAAAACCUCCGCCCAACUUUGCCAAGUUGCCCGGAGGCUUGGGGGCUACUGUCGGAGUAAUUGGACACAGAUACCCCGAAGACGGUGAGACGAUAUUUCAAGACAUCGGGGCUAGCAAAGCCCCUCGGUCCGACUGCCCGGCCACUUCUGCCGGCUCUCCGUCCGACUGCUCUGCCCGGCCGGCUGCCGGCUGCUGACUGCAACGACCAGCUGGCUGCCGACUGCAGCCCGAAGCGACAUCGACAAGACACCGACGAGACGACCAUAUCGCGGACAAGACCACCGUACCGCGACGCCAUCAUGUACAGUAACACUUGUCCCUGGGCACUAUUUAUGAAGUGACCCAGGGGACAAGUGUGACACUCACCCAUGCCCCCAUGCCACUAGCUAGCUUACAUACUAAGCUACCUCACACUAUAAAAGGAGACACACAUCCAUCCAUCCAGGGGAUGGGCUCUCACGCACACACCCACAAGCAUGCUAGCUAGCAAGAGAGCUAGCUAGCCAUCCAUCCAUCCAUCCACACAACACACACACACACGCAUGGCACUCACAUGCUCACGGCCAUGAGCAUGGCCGGCCACUAGCAUGCCUCAUAUAGGCAUAUACCAGAUCAGAUGCACUUGGCACUGAUCCCAGAUACAGCUUCAGGAGCACUUUGUACUGCCCAAUUUACACCCCAGAUAGAUACACUCAGA
Molecule: long non-coding RNA, 6246 nt
Filed under: Triticum aestivum (bread wheat)
Lineage: Eukaryota; Viridiplantae; Streptophyta; Magnoliopsida; Poales; Poaceae
Description: long non-coding RNA (TAES_LNC027128)
Source: RNAcentral